UCCCCUGAGGGGGCCUGCGGAAGGAUCAUUAUUG
This 34-nucleotide ribosomal RNA is filed under the name Rhizoctonia solani. RNAcentral's name for it is "partial 18S ribosomal RNA". The record is from RNAcentral. Lineage: Eukaryota; Fungi; Basidiomycota; Agaricomycetes; Cantharellales; Ceratobasidiaceae.